RNAcentral lists this ribosomal RNA (1698 nucleotides) under human oral metagenome. Its description in RNAcentral is "bacterial LSU rRNA". It matches the Rfam family "Bacterial large subunit ribosomal RNA", at positions 1155 to 2874 of the family's 2925-position model. The record is from RNAcentral.
GUCUCUGCGCCGACAAUGUAACGGGGCUAAGUUAUAAACCGAAGCUGUGGAAUCCGUAAGGAUUGGUAGGAGAGCGUUCUGUAGGCCGUUGAAGGAGAAGGGUAACCGACUCUGGAGGUAUCAGAAGUGAGAAUGCAGGAAUAAGUAGCGAGAAAGGGGGCGAGAAUCCCCCUCGCCGGAAGACCAAGGUUUUCAGGGUAAAGCUUGUCUUCCCUGAGUAAGCCGGGACCUAAGCCCAGGCUAUAAUGCGUAGGCGAAUGGAAAACAGAUUAAUAUUUCUGUGCCAGUCAUAUAUUGUGAUGGAGGGACGCAGAAGGGUAUGCGCGCGGACGAACGGAAGUGUCCGUAGAAGUAUGUAGGAUGACUUGAUAGGAAAAUCCAUUGAGUUAUAUCUGAGGUAUGAUAUACAGUCGUAAGAUGAAUGUGCAAAUCCCACGCUGCCAAGAAAAGCUUCUAACGUUAAUAUUUGACUGCCCGUACUGCAAACCGACACAGGUGGUCAGGAUGAGAAAUCUAAGGCGGACAGGCUAACUCUCGUUAAGGAACUCUGCAAAAUAACCUCGUAACUUCGGGAGAAGAGGAGCCCUUGAGGGUCAGUAUCCACGCGAUACAAAGCGCUCGAGGGUCGCAGUGAAGAGGCUCAAGCAACUGUUUAACAAAAACACAGGUCUAUGCUAAGCUGGAAGGCGAUGUAUAUGGGCUGACACCUGCCCAGUGCUGGAAGGUUAAGAGGAGGAGUGAGAGCUCCGAAUUGAAGCCCCAGUGAACGGCGGCCGUAACUAUAACGGUCCUAAGGUAGCGAAAUUCCUUGUCGGGUAAGUUCCGACCUGCACGAAUGGUGUAAUGAUUUGAGCGCUGUCUUGACGGGAGGCCUGGUGAAAUUGUAUUACCGGUGAAGAUACCGGUUACCUACAGUAGGACGGAAAGACCCCAUGGAGCUUUACUGUAGCUUGGUAUUGGGUUUUGGCAUUGCAUGUAUAGGAUAGUUGGGAGACUGAGAUGAUAUGGCGCUAGCUGUAUCGGAGUCAUCGGUGGAAUACCAACCAUUCAAUGCUGAAAUUCUAAUCUGUGGUUUGUAGCCACGGAGACAGUGCUAGGUGGGCAGUUUGACUGGGGCGGUCGCCUCCGAAAGAGUAACGGAGGCGUUCAAAGGUUCUCUCAGGUUGGAUGGAAAUCAACCAUAGAGUGCAAUGGCAUAAGAGAGCUUGACUGCAAGACUGACGGGUCGAGCAGAUGCGAAAGCAGGACAUAGUGAUCCGGCGAUUCCGAAUGGAAGGGUCGUCGCUCAACGGAUAAAAGCUACCCUGGGGAUAACAGGCUGAUCCUACCCGAGAGUCCAUAUCGACGGUAGGGUUUGGCACCUCGAUGUCGGCUCAUCGCAUCCUGGGGCUGGAGAAGGUCCCAAGGGUUGGGCUGUUCGCCCAUUAAAGCGGUACGUGAGCUGGGUUCAGAACGUCGUGAGACAGUUCGGUCCCUAUCCACUGUAGGCGUUAGAAUAUUGAGAAGACCUGUCCUUAGUACGAGAGGACCGGGAUGGACAAACCUCUGAUGUACCAGUUGUCACGCCAGUGGCACAGCUGGGUAGUCACGUUUGGAAUAGAUAACCGCUGAAAGCAUCUAAGCGGGAAACUAACUUCAAGAUAAGUAUUCUUUAAGAUACCUUCGAGCCUAGGAGGUUGAUAGGUUGGGGGUGUAAGU